RNAcentral lists this ribosomal RNA (253 nucleotides) under uncultured bacterium. RNAcentral's name for it is "partial 16S ribosomal RNA". It matches the Rfam family "Bacterial small subunit ribosomal RNA", at positions 524 to 776 of the family's 1533-position model. The record is from RNAcentral.
UACGGGGGUGGCGAGCGUUACUCGGAUUUAUUGGGUGUAAAGGGCAGGUAGGCGUUCCGUUAAGUUAGAGGUGAAAUCCUAAGGCUCAACCUUAGAACUGCCUCUAAUACUGGCUGAAUUGAGGCUGUCAGAAGAAAGCGGAAUUCCCGGUGUACGGGUGAAAUCUGUAGAUAUCGGGAGGAACACCAGUGGCGAAGGCGGCUUUCUAGUACAGUUCUGACGCUAAUCUGCGAAAGCUCGGGGAGCAAACAGG